This is a long non-coding RNA of Ictidomys tridecemlineatus (thirteen-lined ground squirrel), 1407 nucleotides long. RefSeq lists it as uncharacterized. The record is from RefSeq and is a predicted model, not a curated record. Lineage: Eukaryota; Metazoa; Chordata; Mammalia; Rodentia; Sciuridae.
GCUGAUUUGCUUAUUGUAUGUCUCUGCAUUCUCGUUAAUCUCUCCAAUUCUGCAAUUUGUAUUGGUUUUCUAGUUAUUAGAGUGAAUUCAUGAGAACAUGUUUUAUUAUUAGUGCUGUCUCCUAGCAGUACCUAACCCUUUGGAAUAUGCAGAAAAUGUGACAAAUCUCUUGGCCCUGAAAUCUUUGCAGGCUGAAUACAAACGGCUGUACUCCAACAAACAGACAGGAAAAGAGUGCUGAUGUUUUAACUGGAGGAUCUCAAGAACUUUUUCUGCUGAUUGGAGUGAUCCAGUCCUUUCAGACUCAUCUCAAAAAGCCGUAUCUUGCAAAGUUUCCCCCAUCUGUUACCUCCAUGUUCCCAGGACAACUGAGACGGGGUAACUGAUGAGGAAAAUGAAUCUAGUUCUUACAGUUUUUGGAGGCUGAAGCUCAAGGUUAAGAGUUUACAUCUGAUGAAUGCUGCCCUCUGCAGAGUCCUAAGAUAAAUAACACCAACGGAAUCAUUUUAUACACAUUGCCUGCAACAGAGUGGGUCUUGAGAGUGGAGUCAAUGCUGAGCACUUUAUUUAGAUUGCAAAUUAUCUAGCUGCCUCAGCAGACUGCGAAAUCAACUGGAAGCUUUUCAGCAUUUAAUUAAGCAGGACAAAGAAAGUCCCAAUAAUAACAGUGUGAAACUGCCAGGGAAAAAAAUUAUGAAUACAAAGGAAGAAAUCAUCAGUAAUUAACCCCAAUCUGAGACUGCAGAGGAGCCUCCAAAACAAGAGGGGAGCACAUGCAAAUAAUACUAAAUUUGCUUGUCUUGAAUGAUUUCAUUGUGUUUUAAUUUAAUAUAAAUUUACGAGAACAGCCACCCAAUUGCUAAGGGAAAAAAAUCAUUCCCUGUAGAAAUUCCCCAAACCUUACUAGGGCAGGUGAGUUUUGCACAAGUGUGAGCUUUUCCUCUGGUGCAUUUAUUGAAUUUUUACAAUAUUACUUUAUAGUCCCCUAUUGAGAUAUUGUGAGUAAAACAAAACAAAACAAAAAAGAAUGGAUAUGGUGGCUGGGAUUGGAGAAGGGAGGAAAUUCUGCCCAAGAAAAUAUACAAAGUGAGAUUCAUUGACAGGCUGGAAUCUAUCUUUCCCCACCUCUUGGCAACAUGGAAAGCUUAUAUUUAAAGAAAUUUCCUCAUAUGUACUUCUUUAAUGAUACAUUCCCUGGCCACCGUUGUUUAUCCACUCUUAGCAUUUUAAAUUAUCUUAAUUAAUUAGAAUAGCUCACUUUGCCUUAUGAUUAUUUAUUCUAUGUCAUGAGUCAAAUCUCAGCUUUUUUGAAGAAUGGUCUGCAUCUUAUAUUAUUCAUCCUUAUAUUUCAAGAACUAGGACCGUGUCUAAUCAUUUAAUGUAUUUUUGAAUAAAGUUUUUUUUUAA